CGGUCCAGACUCCUACGGGAGGCAGCAGUGAGGAAUAUUGGGCAAUGGAGGCAACUCUGACCCAGCCAUGCCGCGUGAGUGAAGAAGGUUUUCGGAUUGUAAAGCUCUUUCGGAUGUGACGAUGAUGACGGUAGCAUCUAAAGAAGCCCCGGCUAACUUCGUGCCAGCAGCCGCGGUAAUACGAAGGGGGCGAGCGUUGUUCGGAAUUACUGGGCGUAAAGGGUGUGUAGGCGGUUAUGUAAGAUAGCGGUGAAAUCCCGGGGCUUAACCUCGGAAUAGCCGUUAUAACUAUGUAGCUAGAGUUAUGGAGAGGAUAGCGGAAUUCCCAGUGUAGCGGUGAAAUUCGUAGAUAUUGGGUAGAACACCGGUGGCGAAGGCGGCUAUCUGGCCAUAUACUGACGCUGAGGCACGAAAGCAUGGGGAUCAAACAGGAUUAGAUACCCUGGUAGUCCAUGCUGUAAACGAUGAAUGCUGGUUGUCGGCUUUAGGGUCGGUGACGAAGUUAACGCGAUAAGCAUUCCGCCUGGGGAGUACGGUCGCAAGAUUAAAACUCAAAGGAAUUGACGGGGACCCGCACAAGCGGUGGAGCAUGUGGUUUAAUUCGAUGCAACGCGAAGAACCUUACCAACUCUUGACAUCCUUAUCGGGGGGCGCAGAGAUGAGCCCUUUCAGUUAGGCUGGAUAAGUGACAGAUGCUGCAUGGCUGUCGUCAGCUCGUGUCGUGAGAUGUUGGGUUAAGUCCCGCAACGAGCGCAACCCCUGCUAUCAGUUGCCAGCGAGUAAAGUUGGGCACUCUGAUAGGACUGCCGGUGACAAGCCGGAGGAAGGUGGGGAUGACGUCAAGUCAUCAUGGCUCUUACGAGUUGGGCUACACACGUGCUACAAUGGUAAACAGAGGGGAG
This 902-nucleotide ribosomal RNA is filed under the name human gut metagenome. RNAcentral's name for it is "bacterial SSU rRNA". It matches the Rfam family "Bacterial small subunit ribosomal RNA", at positions 327 to 1249 of the family's 1533-position model. The record is from RNAcentral.